UUGUGUAUCAGCAAAUCUAAUAAGCAUUGAGCGCAAGUGAAAGAGAUUGGAGAACCUCUCAAAGCAAGAUAAUUUGAAAUUUCAAUUGAAUUUCUCAUCAAAAUAUCAAAUUUGAUAACUGGGAAGCGAUUUCUGACGUACCCGGACAAAGAUGAUUAUGUUGACCCGAGUUUGUUUGGUAUAACAAUAAACGUGAGUCCAGACGCUUGUCAGUUCGUGGAACACAUUACAGGCUACUAGCGGUGGACAGGAGAGCAAUGAGUCCAGAAGCAGCACCCAUGGAGGCCACGUAGUUGAAAUGCGGGGUGAGGCCACGGAGAAGAUAGAACGAGCAAAACACAAGGACGGCCAAGAAGA
Molecule: long non-coding RNA, 357 nt
Organism: Tigriopus californicus
Lineage: Eukaryota; Metazoa; Arthropoda; Copepoda; Harpacticoida; Harpacticidae
Exons: 2
Source: RefSeq, a predicted model, not a curated record